Long non-coding RNA from Drosophila ananassae, 1014 nucleotides. RefSeq lists it as uncharacterized. The transcript is spliced from 3 exons. NCBI's taxonomy places the organism in Eukaryota, Metazoa, Arthropoda, Insecta, Diptera, Drosophilidae. The record is from RefSeq and is a predicted model, not a curated record.
AGCCAAGGGAUCCGCGGCAAACCAACCAUUUCGGCUAGCCAAGUCGUCAGAGGCAGCCAACCAAGCCAAGCUGGCCAGGUCCAGUUCCUCCACACGCCACUGAGCAAGUGCUAACAACUUGUCCAAAGCGGCCGCCGUCGUCCGAGCGAUUUGAUUUCACUGACCUCAAUUAUGGCUGCUGUUGGCCAACAAUGCAACUGAGAUGGCCGGGAGCUGGUCUCUGGUCUCCCAGAGACCCGAAGACCCGAGACUUCUGCUGGUCUCUUGGCCUAUUGAAUUAUUCAUUUGGUCGGACCUCAAGCCGAAAAAAUAAAAAUGUAAGGAGAAGAGCCCACACAGACAAAAAUUUCACAAGGAACAGGGUCUUCACUUUUAUCAGAAAACCACUCAGAAAUAAGAAAUAAAAAGCUUAAGGUAUUAAUAUAUUAUUAAGGUAUACAAUUUACCUUAUAUUCUUCCAAAACUAAUAGCCAAAAUUGAGUUGAAACUUCUCAGUGCAAGCAUACAAAAGUCCAUAAAAAUGUAUGGACGUUGGCAACACCGGGCAAAUGGCAAAUGCCAAACAGCAGCGACAACUUGGCUAAUUACAGCAGAUAUUUGGCCAUUUCAGCUGCUAGCCAAAUGUGUAUUUGUUCAGUUCCAAGUCCUCUACCAAAGCACUUAGCACUGGAAGCAGCCAGUUGGUUGGAGCUUAAGAGCUCCCUGGCAUUCUGUCUGGGAUUUGCAUCCGAGAGCAUGGCCAGCUUUUGUUGUCAAGGAAUUUCAUAGCCACAAUGGAAAGGAUUUGGACCAUGGAAUUGAGGGUUUAUCUUGAGAAACUCACGAUCUGGGCUUAGUUUUGCUAUAAAAGGGCACUCUUCAAAGACUGGUAUUCAGUAAUCGUUUAAAAUGAAAGUAUUCAGGAAGCUAUUGAUGAUCAUGGUAGUGGUUGUUUUUCUCAUAGACCAAAGGGACAGUCGCAUUUUGUAUAUAAAACGAAAGAUUACUUCCUAAAAUAAAUGUUUUAAAAAAGUA